GACGAACGCNGGCGGCGGGCCUAACACAUGCAAGUCGAACGCACUCGACCUUCGGGUCACAUGAGUGAGUGGCGAACGGGUGAGUAACACGUGAGGAACCUGCCCCGAAGACUGGAAUAACCCGGGGAAACUCGGGCUAAUACCGGAUGCCCCCAUCGGAUCGCAUGGUCCGGUGAGGAAAUGCUCCGGCGCUUCGGGAGGGCCUCACGGCCUAUCAGCUAGUUGGUGAGGUAACGGCUCACCAAGGCAACGACGGGUAGCUGGUCUGAGAGGACGAUCAGCCACACUGGGACUGAGACACGGCCCAGACUCCUACGGGAGGCAGCAGUGGGGAAUCUUGCGCAAUGGGCGAAAGCCUGACGCAGCCACGCCGCGUGAGGGAUGAAGGCUCUCGGGUUGUAAACCUCUUUCAGCAGGGACGAAAAUGACGGUACCUGCAGAAGAAGCUCCGGCCAACUACGUGCCAGCAGCCGCGGUAACACGUAGGGAGCGAGCGUUGUCCGGAUUUAUUGGGCGUAAAGAGCUCGUAGGCGGUUCGGUAAGUCAGGUGUGAAAGCUCGAGGCUCAACCUCGAGAGGCCACCUGAUACUGCUGUGACUUGAGUCCGGUAGGGGAGUGUGGAAUUCCUGGUGUAGCGGUGAAAUGCGCAGAUAUCAGGAGGAACACCUACAGCGAAGGCAGCACUCUGGGCCGGUACUGACGCUGAGGAGCGAAAGCGUGGGGAGCGAACAGGAUUAGAUACCCUGGUAGUCCACGCCGUAAACGUUGGGCACUAGGUGUGGGGUCGAAUUAACCGAUUCCGUGCCGUAGCUAACGC
This 817-nucleotide ribosomal RNA is filed under the name uncultured Actinomycetes bacterium. RNAcentral's name for it is "SSU rRNA". It matches the Rfam family "Bacterial small subunit ribosomal RNA", at positions 28 to 858 of the family's 1533-position model. Lineage: Bacteria; Bacillati; Actinomycetota; Actinomycetes. The record is from RNAcentral.